Brassica napus (rape) is the source of this 553-nucleotide long non-coding RNA. RefSeq lists it as uncharacterized. NCBI's taxonomy places the organism in Eukaryota, Viridiplantae, Streptophyta, Magnoliopsida, Brassicales, Brassicaceae. The record is from RefSeq and is a predicted model, not a curated record. The transcript is spliced from 2 exons.
CGUCAAAAAGUUAACCAACUUAUUUAUGAGUUUCACUUUUCUGUUAAGACCUUAAUAUCUGCUCUUGAUAAUGAUAACAAUUUUCCUACGCUUCUAAACAUGAUUUACACCAAACUUUUACUUUACAACUUUUCUCCUGUGCUUUACAACUUUAUGCAAUUGUUGAUCAUCAUACACGUGAGAAUGACUCUAGUAUAUAUAAUUCUUAAACAUCAUCAGCAUACCAAAUUAAUAAGAAAAUAGAUCCAAACAUGUAAUUUAGUAGUUUGUUUUAAGAAAAUAGAUUCAAACGACUCAAACCUAAACGAUUCUUUUCUUCUUUUAUUUUCCGAUUAACUUGGCAUCAAUAUUCUUUUCGUGAAACAAGAGACUGAAGAGAGCACGUGUUGGUCCGUGAAUCUAUCUCCCUGACAGUGCCCUACCAUCGUCAUCGUCUCAUCGCGUUCUAUCUUUGUUCAUUGAAACUAGUUCUGUCUAGUUGGGAAUAGUAUUGAGGACGAAGGAUCAGACAUAAACACCACUAGCAAGUAGCAAAAACAGCGAUCCAAAUCCC